This 159-nucleotide non-coding RNA is filed under the name Alphaproteobacteria bacterium. RNAcentral describes it as "6S RNA". It matches the Rfam family "6S / SsrS RNA". Rfam says of the family: E. coli 6S RNA was the first non coding RNA to be sequenced, but its function was unknown until recently. It consists of 184 nucleotides that fold into an extended hairpin structure with a large single-stranded internal bulge. The 6S RNA specifically associates with RNA polymerase holoenzyme containing the sigma70 specificity factor. The record is from RNAcentral. Lineage: Bacteria; Pseudomonadati; Pseudomonadota; Alphaproteobacteria.
GAAGGGCUGCGCGGUUCGACAGGCUACUGAAAUUCCCCGCGGCCGAUUACAUUACCUCGGGAGCUGUCCCUGACUGGAGCCGUGGUUCCGGACAUAUGGCACCCACCUGCUUGUUGCAGGUCACGAGGGAUAAGCGGCCACCGGCCAAGCGGCUCUUCC